GAAAUGCGAUAAGUAAUGUGAAUUGCAGAAUUCAGUGAAUCAUCGAAUCUUUGAACGCACAUUGCGCCCGCCAGUAUUCUGGCGGGCAUGCCUGUUCGAGCGUCAUUUCAACCAUCAAGCCCCCGGCUUGUGUUGGGGACCUGCGGCUGCCCACAGGCCCUGAAAAACAGUGGCGGGCUCGCUGUCACACCGAGCGUAGUAGCAUACAUUCUCGCUCAGGGCGUGCUGCGGGUUCCGGCCGUUAAACGACCUUCAUAACCCAAGGUUGACCUCGGAUCCGGUAGGAAGACCCGCUGAACUUAAGC
Molecule: unclassified non-coding RNA, 305 nt
Filed under: plant metagenome
Description: partial contains 5.8S ribosomal RNA, internal transcribed spacer 2, and large subunit ribosomal RNA
Rfam family: 5.8S ribosomal RNA (bases 1-105)
Source: RNAcentral